AGAGUUUGAUCAUGGCUCAGAUUGAACGCUGGCGGAAUGCUUUACACAUGCAAGUCGAACGGCAGCACGGGGGCAACCCUGGUGGCGAGUGGCGAACGGGUGAGUAAUACAUCGGAACGUGCCCAGUCGUGGGGGAUAACUACGCGAAAGCGUAGCUAAUACCGCAUACGAUCUACGGAUGAAAGCGGGGGAUCGCAAGACCUCGCGCGAUUGGAGCGGCCGAUGGCAGAUUAGGUAGUUGGUGGGGUAAAGGCUCACCAAGCCAUCGAUCUGUAGCUGGUCUGAGAGGACGACCAGCCACACUGGGACUGAGACACGGCCCAGACUCCUACGGGAGGCAGCAGUGGGGAAUUUUGGACAAUGGGCGCAAGCCUGAUCCAGCCAUUCCGCGUGCAGGAUGAAGGCCCUCGGGUUGUAAACUGCUUUUGUACGGAACGAAAAGGCGCUUUCUAAUACAGAGCGCUCAUGACGGUACCGUAAGAAUAAGCACCGGCUAACUACGUGCCAGCAGCCGCGGUAAUACGUAGGGUGCAAGCGUUAAUCGGAAUUACUGGGCGUAAAGCGUGCGCAGGCGGUGAUGUAAGACAGAUGUGAAAUCCCCGGGCUCAACCUGGGAACUGCAUUUGUGACUGCAUUGCUGGAGUGCGGCAGAGGGGGAUGGAAUUCCGCGUGUAGCAGUGAAAUGCGUAGAUAUGCGGAGGAACACCGAUGGCGAAAGCAAUCCCCUGGGCCUGCACUGACGCUCAUGCACGAAAGCGUGGGGAGCAAACAGGAUUAGAUACCCUGGUAGUCCACACCCUAAACGAUGUCAACUGGGUUGUUGGGUCUUCACUGACUCAGUAACGAAGCUAACGCGUGAAGUUGACCGCCUGGGGGAGUACGGCCGCAAGGUUGAAA
RNAcentral lists this ribosomal RNA (897 nucleotides) under uncultured bacterium. RNAcentral's name for it is "bacterial SSU rRNA". It matches the Rfam family "Bacterial small subunit ribosomal RNA", at positions 8 to 899 of the family's 1533-position model. The record is from RNAcentral.